This 116-nucleotide ribosomal RNA is filed under the name Synergistota bacterium. RNAcentral also lists the same sequence under 1 other name. Lineage: Bacteria; Thermotogati; Synergistota. The record is from RNAcentral.
UUCGGUGGCCAUUGCGAAGGGGAGACACCCGGCUCCAUGUCGAACCCGGCAGUUAAGCCCUUCAGCGCCGAUGGUACUCCGGGGGGAACCCGCGGGAGAGUAGGUCGCUGCCGAAA